CAGUCGUACCUGCGGAUAAUCAGCCUUUAGGAUGCGAUUCUGUGGAGCGUGAGGAGCUAAUCGCCUUCAUGCCUAUAUACUCGUGUACUUGGGGUGUACUUAUUCGUGAGGUAAGUUAACAUCAAUUUUGGUCGUCAUAAAAUGACUGGAGGAAUGUAGCUUCGAUCUCGUAUUGAAG
RNAcentral lists this ribosomal RNA (178 nucleotides) under Glomus sp. (unid). The record is from RNAcentral. Lineage: Eukaryota; Fungi; Glomeromycota; Glomeromycetes; Glomerales; Glomeraceae.